This 30-nucleotide non-coding RNA is filed under the name Rattus norvegicus (Norway rat). The record is from RNAcentral. Lineage: Eukaryota; Metazoa; Chordata; Mammalia; Rodentia; Muridae.
UCCUAUCUCAGACUGCUUUGGCCACUUAGG